CAACAGAGACACAGAGAAACAGAGACAUGAUAGAAACACAGAGGCUCUCUUCUCUGUGUUUAUGGGGAGUUCCAAAACACAGAUCUACAGAGGAGACUUGUCUGGUUUUUGUCCCCGAGAUGAGGACACAUCCCAUCAAGUAUGGUCAGAAGAUGUGUUGGAUCAGACUCUCUGACAGUGUGUUCUGGUCCCCACCGCUCUGGAACUGAAUCAGAACCUCUGCAGAUAGCACCCUGGGAGCUCCAAAACCUGCAGGAGACUGAACUUCCACUACUGAGCUGCACUCCCCUUACCCCAACUGCCGGAUCACUAAGAACCAGAGGAAGAGGAGAUGGAGUCUGUACAGAGACUCUCAAAGACA
Long non-coding RNA from Bos taurus (domestic cattle), 361 nucleotides. Lineage: Eukaryota; Metazoa; Chordata; Mammalia; Artiodactyla; Bovidae. The record is from Ensembl.